UAAAGCAGAUUAAAGAGAGAAACGAUCACAUAACAGAUGCGAAUGCAGCGCAAGUGGAGUCGCUUUAAAUGUAAGAUGCACGUUUCAGAUGACUCAACGUGUCUGCCCCCUGGCAACAGCAGUCUUCGCAUACAAAAUAAAAACGUUUUUGUGGGGAAAGUAUUAAAGCAUUUUAAAACAAUUAUCGCAACAAAAGAAGCGGAACAGUAAAUCUAAGGAGACCCAUAUGAAUGUGAAAAGGAGUUAUGCAACAGUUCACCUUGUCAUCGUUUAGAAAUGCUUUUUAGCAUGAAGUGGGAGAGACCAUGAAAAUCCUAUUCGUUCUAGGUAAAAAUAAACUGUAUAAAUUGGGUGUUCUAAACGGGAACUUGACAUUCGUAUUCAGCGAUCACUAAAACCAUAAUGAAGCUCUACCUUGGAAUCCUUCUGGCCGUUGUCUUGCCGCUCCUUGUGGCUGGACACCCCUCCAAGUCCCCGAAGGGUGAUUCGCCAACAGGAGCACCCUAAGCGGAUGUUCCACUUUCGCCUUCACAAAGCCGUUGUAGACUUGCCUUAAUCUUGCAGAUGAUUUUUGUUGAUCAAUAAAUCAGGCAUUCACAUUA
Molecule: long non-coding RNA, 602 nt
Organism: Drosophila miranda
Lineage: Eukaryota; Metazoa; Arthropoda; Insecta; Diptera; Drosophilidae
Exons: 2
Source: RefSeq, a predicted model, not a curated record